RNAcentral lists this ribosomal RNA (497 nucleotides) under uncultured bacterium. Its description in RNAcentral is "partial 16S ribosomal RNA". It matches the Rfam family "Bacterial small subunit ribosomal RNA", at positions 28 to 507 of the family's 1533-position model. The record is from RNAcentral.
GAUGAACGCUGGCGGCGUGCCUAAUACAUGCAAGUCGAGCGAACAGACGAGGAGCUUGCUCCUCUGACGUUAGCGUCGGACGGGUGAGUAACACGUGGAUAACCUACCUAUAAGACUGGGAUAACUUCGGGAAACCGGAGCUAAUACCGGAUAAUAUAUUCAACCGCAUGGUUCAAUAGUGAAAGACGGUUUUGCUGUCACUUAUAGAUGUAUCCGCGCCGCAUUAGCUAGUUGGUAAGGUAACGGCUUACCAAGGCAACGAUGCGUAGCCGACCUGAGAGGGUGAUCGGCCACACUGGAACUGAGACACGGUCCAGACUCCUACGGGAGGCAGCAGUAGGGAAUCUUCCGCAAUGGGCGAAAGCCUGACGGAGCAACGCCGCGUGAGUGAUGAAGGUCUUCGGAUCGUAAAACUCUGUUAUUAGGGAAGAACAAAUGUGUAAGUAACUAUGCACGUCUUGACGGUACCUAAUCAGAAAGCCACGGCUAACUACGUG